GAUGAACGCUGACAGAAUGCUUAACACAUGCAAGUCAACUGUGGCGGACGGGUGAGUAACCCGUAAAGAACUUGCCUCACUGUUAGGGACAACAUUUGGAAAGGAAUGCUAUUCCUUGAACUUGUGAGAGAGCUUUGCGUCCCAUUAGCUAGUUGGAGAGGUAACGGCUCACCAAGGCGAUGAUGGGUAGCCGGCCUGAGAGGGUGAUCGGCCACAAGGGGACUGAGACACGGCCCUUACUCCUACGGGAGGCAGCAGUGGGGAAUAUUGGACAAUGGACCAAAGUCUGAUCCAGCAAUUCUGUGUGCACGAUGAAGUUUUCGGAAUGUAAAGUGCUUUCAGUUGGGAAGCAGUACCAACAGAAGAAGUGACGGCUAAAUACGUGCCAGCCGCCGCGGUAAUUC
RNAcentral lists this ribosomal RNA (404 nucleotides) under uncultured bacterium. RNAcentral's name for it is "partial 16S ribosomal RNA". It matches the Rfam family "Bacterial small subunit ribosomal RNA", at positions 28 to 526 of the family's 1533-position model. The record is from RNAcentral.